CGCGGGGGUGCCAGCAGCGACGGGCCCUCAAAGUUUGGUUUAAACGCGGAGGAGGGGUUCAGCGCCGGCUGCCCAGCUUCACGAUUUAAACUUAGGCGCGGGUUUGGAGAACUCCUGUAAAAAGUGGGGAGUUAACGUAGUAAAAUAAUCCCGUAACGCGGAGGCGGGGGGGGGGAAUAUCCACAAAGGCGCGGAGUGUCCCCGCGGGGGUGCCAGCAGCGACGGGUCCUAAAAAUACGGUUUAAACGGGGAGGGGUGUUGAGCGGCGGCUGCCCAGCUUCACGUGUUAAACCCAGGAGCGGGUUUGGGGAACUCCUGUAAAAAGUGGGGAGUUCACGUAGCGAAAUAAUCUCGCAGUGCCCGGAGUUACGGUUAAUUGCUGUGAUGAGUGAAGCCUUCUCAUUACGACCCUCGGGCUCGUGAUGUUCUCUCGCCCAGGCGGCGAGUAGCCCGACAAGGUAGCCCCCAGCGAAGGCUAAGACCGGCUGGUGCUUAAAGUGCUCCAGGAUCUGCACCUACAUUUGUCUUUUGAGAGCAGGGUCUAAAUAACGUAGUAUUCGGUGUGAAAUAAAGCAAAAUUGCCUUUGUAGUAUGCAUGUACAACAGGUAGUUAGAAAUGGCAUGAAAAAGUAGGUAAAAAUCACAAAAAAACAGCUUCUGAUAGAAAAAAAAAUCCCACGUGUAGUGUACCGCAGGUUCCUAAGGCUAUCAGAGGGUCUAAUUUCUAAACCACUAAUUCACAUCUACUCUGAAUUGACGCUGAGCAAAUAUUGGGACCAUCUGAUUGCAAUAGCAGGGUCAGAGUGGGGGUUUUGAUCAGCCUCCGGGUUCCAAAGCGUGGCUCCUUUAUGAAGUGACAUCCUUUACCUGCCCUCCAUGCCCCCCUAAGAAAGGGAACAUCAAAGCAGACCUAAACGCAGCAGGGGCUGAUGGCGCGACGGUUCUCCUUGGGUUUCCUUUUUGCAAUUUUGUGAGGUGGACAUUGAGAAUAAACCUGUUUCUACCUUGGGUACAAUACUCGUUCACUGUUGUCUCUCCUGGGCCAGCAAAAAUGGGGAGUGCUGUGAUCUAACCAGUACAAAGCUCAGAAAUAAAUUUCAAACUGCCUUACAUGCUUUUAAUUCUUAAAUCAGUUAAGCGGAGAUUGAAACUUUCCUUGAAAUAGGGCAUUUUUCUUUACUAUUCCUGUCUGCUUCUACCAACAGAAAUAUAUUCAGAGAGCAUCCAGUUGCCCUUUGCAUACCUAACCAAUCAUGUUCUAGGUACUAUAUCAAACAUACUAAAUAUCAUACAAAAAAAUAAAACGCAUUAGAGUUCAACUUUGUGGGCCUUGUUGGUCAUCUCUUUGUAAAGAUCCAUAUUUUAAUGAACUGUGACAUGGGGAUAAAGGCGGGAGAGGAUAGAGUUCUAACCUGGGAUUUAAGGCAGUAAGCUUCUCCUUCUGCAUCUGCCAAUAGCUGUUUGCAGAAUCUUGAAAAAAUCAUGUAAUCUUUCUCUAACAUCUCCCUAUUUGCAGGUGAUUUAACUUUAUUAUCGUAUAGAAGUGUUGUAUAGGCUAUAUAUUGAAGUGUGGAUUCCAGAUGUUUGUUACAGCAAGUGCAUUAUUAAUCCAGAAUCCUGAGGAGAUGCAUGCAUAUGUUGACCUUUCAGCCAAGAUUACUCAAUUUUAAAAUCAAAUGCAUGUGUACAUCUGUAGGAUUGAGGCCAGAGUAAUUGUACAAAAUAAAUGGAUGUAACUAGAUAAUCAUCAGACAAAACCCCACAUAAUCCAUCCAUUCCACAAAAGUCCACCAAAAAAGAUCAGAGACAUAAAAGAAAACUAAUUUUUCUAAAUCUGUGGUUUUUUGGACAUGACCAAUCUGAGACUCUUGGUGUAUCAAGCAAACCCACCAAAGACUGUAUUAAUCACAUACACCUGGAAACACCACAGCACAUCAUUGAAGUGUGGAAGUAAAUAUGUUUCAGAAAUGUCACAGUUUUAAUCUAUAGAUCUCCAAAAAUAGGAAACACAUCUUUAACCUUCUUUUAAGACAGAUUCCUACUAAUCUACAUUUAAUUUUAUCAUUGAAAUAUCGCUGUAAUCUGUGCAUUAAUGACAAAAAACCUGUCUCAAACUUAAAAGAACUGGGGAAAAAAGGGGUGGUCAGCUGUGGAUGAUAAUACCCACAGCUGCAUUAGGAUAAAAACAUUUAGAAGCGAUAUUAAACCCGUGUGCUUGAGCACACAGGUUAAGCACUGGUAGAUGAGGGUUAGGGCUCGUUUCCCCUCUGAGCAGGUCAUGCCACAGGUUUCUAGCAGUGCCCAGAGCUGGGCCCUGCCAGGGCUGCCAUGAGGCUGGUUUGCUUCGCCGGCAAAAAUGGGGUAAAACCACUUCAGGUAUCAAUACUGCGAAAAGGGAGCAGUGAUUAUUGAGUUGAAAGGGGCUAGUCUGAACUAUAUUAAAAAAAAACCCAACACACUGAAACUUCUUUGCUGGAUGUUAAUGUAACUUAAAUUAUUUAAGAUCUAAUCAUAACAGCCUGCUGGAUCCUUGUUAGCUUGGAACUAGGAUCUGUCAUUUAAUUAAACUUGUACCACAGGGCUGAUGCUAAAAUAAGAACUAUAGUGUUGUGCUUGGGGAGGCUGUAGGAAGAAAUGGGUUAAUUUUACCCCUACUGAGCUUUCAUGUAUGGUUAUUUCCCAUUGGAGAGAACGGACUGAAAUAAUUUUAAAACAUUUUUUGAAGUAUUAUUUUGUCGUGUAAGACCUACCAUUCUAUACCUUACCUCGGAUUAAGAUGGAAGUCUAGAUACUUAACCAUGUUGUUGCUUUAUGAAGUUAAAAAUUAUAGUUUUUCUAGACGUGACAAGUCAAAAUUUUUGCAGGAAUUCCAUCAACUGAACUUUAAGCUCUACUUUAGGUGAGGUUGGCAGAUACGCUGGCCUUAACCUCCUUGCUGCUUGGGACUGCAGAUAAACAUCUGUUUGCCUUUUGCAACUUCUAAUGUGUUGUUUUUAAUGUAGAUCUACCAUAAUUUCCAUUUUGUGGUAACCUGAUUUGGUUUUGGUACAAUAACAGCAACAAAUGGAAGUGAUAAUUUGCAUCUGAAGCUGGAAAUAUGUUUUACAAAAACUGCUAUGCAAAGGGUAGCACCUUUGCAUGCUCAGUACCGUAUCACAUUAAUCAUAUGGUACUCAGCGAACCUAUUCUUACUCAGUCCUCCUACAGAAAAUAGAGAAGUACAUUUUUAGCAGGAAAAAACCUGUGAGUAUCCUUGUGACAGUGUACAGAUUUCUCAGGGCUUUCUGGAAGGAAACUUGGACUUCUGCCACCUGCUCCGAUUGUGUUCAUGCAUAAAUGAUCCAGGGAAUGGGUUGACAUUACCUCUAAUUAGGGGUAAUAACAGCCUGCUACUGAAAGAGCCAGUUCCCUUUCUCUUGUGUGUGUGUCCCUCAUUUCUCCUGUGUUAGGUCUAGUGUUUGUGCAGCCACAGGGUAAGUCAGUUCAGUGACCUGAUCCAGCAGAAAACUCAACCAUUAAGAAAAAAUAGAAAACCGUUGGUUGGUUUGUUGUUUUUUUUUUUUUCAUCAGGUCAAUUGACUGAAGCUCUGUAACCAUUUGAUCUGCGUGAUGUACAGGAUGGCGAGGAGUGGGGUGAGAUGAAGGCAGAGUGCAGGACUACACCCUUUUGGUGGCCUUCUGCAAUUGCACUGAUCAGAGCUAACUCUAGAGUGGCAGUAUAGAGGUGUGUAAUAAUAAGUAAUUAGAGUUGGGAAUACAAGAGUUUAUCCUGUUUAGUUUGUACCUCAGAAUGGAGCUGUAAACUGGAACAUAAUGGGGGAAGAGGGUACACUGCGACAGCCCUGAUGUUUUAGUUGCAGAAGGAGGCUUGGUCCUUAAUUUAUGUUCUUCUAUGUAACAAUCCAAAUUUUUAUUUCUGAAAGGAAAGGAAAUAAGGCUUAUUUUAAACCUACAAUGCUGGGGGGCUUGGAAGCUUAAAAUUACACAUAGGUUUGGUUUGGAAAAGUGGAUGGGAUGAGAUUUCUUUACUGAUUCAGUAGGUCCUUUUCCGUACAUUUCUUUGAAUGAAAUAUGAACUCCGCAAUACAUCAGUGUGGAAUACUGUUCUGUCUUUCAGAGCCCUUCCCAAUAAACAGGAAUAGGAGUAAUGGACAGA
Athene cunicularia (burrowing owl) is the source of this 4156-nucleotide RNA transcript. It is a transcript of the gene named ORAI calcium release-activated calcium modulator 1, with no coding region annotated. The record is from RefSeq and is a predicted model, not a curated record. Lineage: Eukaryota; Metazoa; Chordata; Aves; Strigiformes; Strigidae. The transcript is spliced from 2 exons.